Long non-coding RNA from Dromaius novaehollandiae (emu), 2418 nucleotides. NCBI's taxonomy places the organism in Eukaryota, Metazoa, Chordata, Aves, Casuariiformes, Dromaiidae. The record is from Ensembl.
AUGCCUAACGCCGUAUUUAUGCCGACGUCCUUCCGGGCUUGCCUAUCCGUAGGGGUAUAUACGGUAACCAGGCACGCGCUAACUAUGGGCAAAUACGGUUCCGGCGGCGGCUGCGUCCGUGCCGUGGCGGCGCGGGAGUGGCGGCGCCCGUUGGGGCGGGCUGCAAAUGCCGGCGGGGGCGGGGGCACCCGCCACGCGGGGCAGCCGCUCGGGCAGCCGUUGGGACCGUUGGGCCUGGCGCCGUGGGGAGGCGCGGCGCGGCUGGGCUGGGCUGGGCUGGGCUGGGCUGCUCUCCCCUCCCCUGCGCUCCCUUCCCCUGGCCAAGGGGGAAGCUCGCCAAGCUGCCACCGGAUUUGUUCGUGUUUCUUGUGUCGGUGGGGAGUCAGGAAUUCCUCUGAAAAACGCGAGGGUCACGUCCCGGUGUUCAUGGGCUCCUUGACCUUCAAGCUGCACCUGGCCCUGAAGCUCCUCCUUCCUCAUACGAUCCUUUGGCAACGCGACACCUCUUCACCUUUCAGCUCUCCCUGCCAGCCAGAAGUGCCAUGGCGUUUUCCAGAGAAAAGGCUAUGCAACUGGCCACACACGUUGCACAAGCUUUUAGAUCACGCCUAGACUGACUGAUGGAUCACGUGCUGCAUGGCUGAGUCACUGACACUGCCGAUGCCGUUGCAGAGUGAGUCAUGAGGACUGUCAGCAAGAGGAGAGAUGGGGAGAGAGUGAUCCUGCUCCUGAGAGAUUCUAGCUGAACCUUAUCAAAACCAGGAGAAUUAAUCAAUAGCUACAUCAUAGGUAUCAUUUCCUGAGGUGGAGAAGUGCAGAUUUAGAAUCAUUUCCCAUAUUAUUGUCGUCUUUCUGACCACUGCAAAGAAAACUGAAUUGUUCUUGUUUUAGCAUUUUUAUGGUAUGUAGACAUGGCAAGAAAUUACUCUGGACCAACAGUUUAAAGUUUAGAAUAAUGCAGCCAGUUUUGCUGGAAGCAGAAUGGGGAGCAACUUUGCCGAUAGCUCAAAGAGGUAGUAGGCUGAAAAAAGAAGCUGUAACAACCUGAAGGGCAGAAAACACCGGAGAGCUCACGUCAGCACCUGAGACUAUUCCAAGGAAAGUGGUGGAGGACCCAGCUCUACCAUUCAGCUGGACAACAUGCCAGGCGCAGAGUGCCCGCUGCUGCCCGCACGCCCCUUGUGAGCGAUCACAGAGCCUGAGCACUGUUCCAACGGAAAUGUGCAGAGAUGGCACAACAGGUCACAGCAUUCCUUAUGUUUCUGAAAAAGGACUCUGCAUAGACGUUUUCUUCCCAGUAUUUCCUCCUUGAUCUGGUUAAGAUUGUGACAGAUAGGGUCUGAAGGUUAUGAGCACUCAGCAUAUUAUCUCUAUCUAAAUGGCUCUGAGUCAGGCUCUGGGUUUGGCACGAUGGAGUGAUGGUGCCAACUUGUCUCCCAGAAUGGGUGAAUUCAGCUGCUGUGUGCUGAGGUGAUUGGAACAGUAGUAGUUUGGAAGCAAGGAGGAAAGGUGAAAAUCCAACAAGCAUCCUAAUGAGAGAGAGAGUACUGCCUGAACCAGCUCCAAAGGGAGGGUAGCCACAGGCCCUGCUCUUGGAGCACAGAUGUGGAAGGAGGCUGGCAAAGAAGAAGCUGGCACAGUCAUUCUGAGACAGCUACAGGAGGUCUGCAGUAAAGCAGUGCAUAUAUGCAAUACCCAGAGGUCUGCUGGAGUAAGAGUACCUUUUGAAAAGUUUUGAACAAAUUUAUACCAGCAGAUCCAUUUUAGGUCAAAGGAGGAAUUUGUAUUCUGUGGCAGUUGCAUUUUUAUUCCAACUCUGCAGGUGCUAAAGAAGGAUUUACAGUCUUAUGAAACCUGUAUCUGGGGCAUAAAUCUUAACUAAUAGAGUUGCAUCAUUGUAAUUCCCCAACUUGUAGAGGUGUUCUUUUGUAUUAGAAGAAGAUCCUUCCACAGUGUAAUUUAUAUCACUUGGGAAGGAAUUCAAAUAAGACAACAAAAUCAUGUAUAUGACCAUAUUGAUGUAACUGGUAAACUACUCCUAGGUUUGUACAGCCUUACUGAUAUUUUUUACCAACUUCAACUAAUUUGUUUAAAGACACUGUCAGUAUGGUAUAUGAACAUCUUUCCAAGGAACUGGCAUUAAUGUAAUUAAAGCACAUCUAAAUUAAUUUAGCUAUAUGGGUGCAAUGUUUGUAUAUAAACAAGCUUUAACAGAGUCAAGAAUUCUUAAAGAGUAUGCUUCUCACAGUUUUCUUAAGUAUGGUUUUGCUGGGAUACAAUUAAAAAUGCUUGGAGUACUUUGUAAACUAAGCAAUAUGCGUUAGAAAUUAAACUUCUGGCAUUUAUGUGAUUGUGAUUCUAUCCAAAUUAUAAUUUAARCCAAAUAAACAUUUGCCCUUUGUAAAGAAUGGGUUUGGG